This is a small nucleolar RNA of Lolium rigidum, 84 nucleotides long. The record is from RefSeq and is a predicted model, not a curated record. Lineage: Eukaryota; Viridiplantae; Streptophyta; Magnoliopsida; Poales; Poaceae.
UCUUUUGAUGAUGAAACAUUGAUUGGAUGUCUGAUACACAAUCCAUUAAACCAUGGGAUAACACGAGGCAUUUGUGUGAGAGAA